AGCAGCCGCGGUAAUUCCAGCUCCAAUAGCGUAUAUUAAAGUUGUUGCAGUUAAAAAGCUCGUAGUUGAAUUUCGGGGUUCAUACGUUGGUCGGGCUUUUUGGUCUGUACUGGCGUAAUGGAUUCCUACCUUCUGAAUAACCGGCAUGCCAUUAAUUUGGUGCGCCGGGGAAGCAGGACUGUUACCUUGAAAAAAUUAGAGUGCUUAAAGCAGGCUAUCGCCUGAAUACAUUAGCAUGGAAUAAUGAAAUAGGACGGCAUGGUUCUAUUUUGUUGGUUUCUAGGAUCACCGUAAUGAUUAAUAGGGAUAGUUGGGGGCAUUAGUAUUCAAUUGUCAGAGGUGAAAUUCUUGGAUUUAUUGAAGACUAACUUCUGCGAAAGCAUUUGCCAAGGAUGUUUUCAUUAAUCAAGAACGAAAGUUAGGGGAAUCGAGACGAAUCAGAUACCGUCGUAGUCUUAACCAUAAACUAUGCCGACU
Molecule: ribosomal RNA, 477 nt
Filed under: uncultured Glomus
Lineage: Eukaryota; Fungi; Glomeromycota; Glomeromycetes; Glomerales; Glomeraceae
Description: SSU rRNA
Rfam family: Eukaryotic small subunit ribosomal RNA
Source: RNAcentral